Molecule: long non-coding RNA, 93 nt
Organism: Trachymyrmex cornetzi
Lineage: Eukaryota; Metazoa; Arthropoda; Insecta; Hymenoptera; Formicidae
Exons: 3
Source: RefSeq, a predicted model, not a curated record
CACCGGCUCGCGUAAAAUAGCCACGGUAGUGUCGUUGCGCGUAGUUUAGCGCCGAGACACUACCAGUGUCUCCAGAUACUUAUAAUAAAAGAA